This 253-nucleotide ribosomal RNA is filed under the name uncultured bacterium. RNAcentral's name for it is "partial 16S ribosomal RNA". It matches the Rfam family "Bacterial small subunit ribosomal RNA", at positions 524 to 776 of the family's 1533-position model. The record is from RNAcentral.
UACGAAGGGGGCUAGCGUUGCUCGGAAUCACUGGGCGUAAAGGGUGCGUAGGCGGCGCGGUAAGUCGGGUGUGAAAUCUCGGGGCUUAACUCCGAAACUGCAUUCGAUACUACCGUGCUUGAGGACUGGAGAGGAGACUGGAAUUUACGGUGUAGCGGUGAAAUGCGUAGAUAUCGUAAGGAAGACCAGUGGCGAAGGCGGGUCUCUGGACAGUUCCUGACGCUGAGGCACGAAGGCCAGGGGAGCAAACGGG